AUGAUAAAGAAGAUUCCCUCUGAGCACAAUUGCCCUACUACAAAGCUUGUAGACAGCAGAAUGGCAACACAAGGUUGGGUUGUAGAGAAGCUUGUUGAUUGGGUGAAGAAAAACCCAGGAGAGGGAGCAAAGGCAGCGAAAACUAAGUUGGAGGGUGACUUCAACUUCAAGCUGAAGUAUUCCAAAGCAUGGGCAGGUAUGAAGAUAGCUCUAGAACGAAUGCAUGGUAAAUAUGAGGAUAGUUUUCAGUUGUUGUUCAAUUGGAAAGCAGAGAUAGAGAAGAGAUGCCCUGUUAGUAUUGUUGAGAUUGAUUUGGUCAAGGAAAAAAGAUAA
This 333-nucleotide ribosomal RNA is filed under the name Triticum aestivum (bread wheat). Its description in RNAcentral is "partial small subunit ribosomal RNA". Lineage: Eukaryota; Viridiplantae; Streptophyta; Magnoliopsida; Poales; Poaceae. The record is from RNAcentral.